AAAUUUAAUAGUAUAAUUACAAUACAUUUAAUUUCGACUUAAAAGAUGAUUUUUAAUAAAUCUAAAUUUA
RNAcentral lists this transfer RNA (70 nucleotides) under Colobopsis nipponica. Its description in RNAcentral is "tRNA-Arg". Lineage: Eukaryota; Metazoa; Arthropoda; Insecta; Hymenoptera; Formicidae. The record is from RNAcentral.